AAAAAAAAGAAAAAAUUUAUAAUUAAAAAUGAAAAAAAUCUAAAAAGAAGUGACCGCAAUGCUGGCACCGGCACUGUAACAAAUGAUUCAGCACCACUGACUUAUGACUCUCGGUAAACCAACAAUAGGUCUACAAUUUUCAGGCGGUUUGAACACGUGUUAGCCUCUACUUCGUGAUAAGACCGGGAAAAUAGGCAUUUAGGCGGGAAA
Molecule: unclassified non-coding RNA, 210 nt
Filed under: Hevea brasiliensis (rubber tree)
Lineage: Eukaryota; Viridiplantae; Streptophyta; Magnoliopsida; Malpighiales; Euphorbiaceae
Source: RNAcentral